UUUCUCCUUCCAGACUUCUUUCACGUAAACUGUUGUCAGCAUUCACGCAUGGUGGACCAUCAGAAGAUGAAUCAGUCUCCAACACUCGUAUAACACUAUAAUUUUUUGAGGGAAAUCACGAAGUUAUAGAUGUUUACCCUACUCCUUCUGGAUUUAUUUCAUGUGAACUGUUGACAACAUUCACACCUGAUUGACCAUCUGAAGGUGAAU
This is a long non-coding RNA of Tupaia belangeri chinensis (Chinese tree shrew), 210 nucleotides long. RefSeq lists it as uncharacterized. The transcript has 2 exons. Lineage: Eukaryota; Metazoa; Chordata; Mammalia; Scandentia; Tupaiidae. The record is from RefSeq and is a predicted model, not a curated record.